CAAGAGCUCGGGAUAUUCCAACACUCGCGGGUUUCAGAUCCUUCAACUCUAUUCCCUAAAUCAUUUCUUUUGAGUUUUUACUGUGAAAAGUUUCCUUUAUUGGGGUAUGUAUUUGGAAAAUAUCAUUAAUUUCUGUUGAAUUCGUUACGAAUGUGACGGAAAUCAAAUCAAAUUUCCAGGGGCAAGACCAGAGGAAAUCUCCCUGUUCGGUUCUUGAAGGUUAUUCCAAUGCCAGCAAAGAGGAAGCCACCACACCCAAUCAGUGUGACUACUCCUAGAACACAGUUGAACACUAUAACUAGCACACUACUCGAACCUGUAAUGUAGCCUGCAACUGCCACUGUACCAACGGAGACAGCGCCACCACUCAAACGUAGGCAUCAUGGUCGUACUUGUGGCAUAGGCACAUCCCAAAUAGUUAACGCCACUCAUAGGAAGCUGGAAAUCAUUUAUGAAGACAUUGAUGGGUGACCUACUGGUCCUAAUGCUAGCCGAUUUGUAUCUGAAAUAGGAUCUGGUGUUCGAAUAUUUGCAGCUCUCCAAAGGAUGUUUUGAAAAGAUGUGACUGAAUCUGAAAAUUCCUCAAUUUACGACAAAGUGGAGGCUGUUUUUUACAUUAUGAUAAAUAUGCAACUCUUAAAGAGUUCAUGGAGAAAUCAAUGGCCACUUCCUUUAUGGAGUUUUGAUAUGAGUUGCACGUACACUACAAGGAGUGUCUAGACCAACCAAUAGCUCAUGGGAAAGCAAAUAAGCCUAAAGAAGUUCAUGGCCAAGCUGAUUGGGAUUAUUUGUGUGACUAUUGGGAAAGUGAGCGGUUUCAAGUACAUUUAUAUGUAUUUUAACUGGUAUUUAUGUUUAUUUGUUACCUUAUUUAGUUUGUUGACUAUUUUCAAUUGUAUUUAAUUGUGUUUCCCAGAAAAUAUCCAAGGUAGCAGUUGAAAAUAGAUCACAACAGUAGUUUAGCCAUUUUUCUAGUUCAAGGUCCUUUAUUCAAUGUCAAGCUAUGGAGGUACGUAAGGAAAUAUAUCCAUUUUUAUUGGAAAGGUAAUUUCAAUUCAAUGAACACUUAUUCUUACUUCUUUUAAUAGGAUAAUGGGACUGGACGACCAAAUAGAAUUCAACUAUGGAAGAACACACAUUAUAAUGAUAAUAAAGGUUGGAUCCAUCCAUGGCUGAGGAGAAAUACUAGGAGAUGAUAGACAUGCAAACCACACAAGAGGCACAUGUCGAGGGAGAGGAAAGUGAGAGUCGAGGAGUACAACUCACUCCUAAUGAAAUAGCGACUCAGGUCCUUGACACUACUUCUUGCUAUUAUAGGGGUUUGGGUAGGGGGCUAAAGUUUUCACAUGCUACAUCUCGUGCGAACACGAUACAACGAGAGAAUGCUAAACUUCGUCAAGUUGUGCAUAACUUGCAGAGCCAGAAUGAGCGUACUCUCGCCUUGUUAGAGGAGAUAAUGCCAGGUGCUACUGCUGGAAUAGUUAGCUCUUGAGUGCCCACUAACCAUCACCAUCACCUGAUCAUGAGGCACAUGAUGAUCAUUAGUUUCAAGUUCUUCAUCGCAUUUACAUGUUUUUAAAUCUUAAUAGUUCGUACCCUAUUAUCGAACAUGUUAUAAGUUUGGACUACACUAGUCUUCUCAUUUUUGAAACUUGACAAGGCUUUUUAUUGACUAUGCUAUUAUUUUGUACUAACGCGUACAUGUAAUUACUCAUAUUUUGGAACUAGAAGUGAACUGUAAAGGUACAAUAUAUUAUUUUGUCUUAUAUUUAGUUUGUCGGCUUUUGAAUU
Molecule: long non-coding RNA, 1791 nt
Organism: Olea europaea var. sylvestris
Lineage: Eukaryota; Viridiplantae; Streptophyta; Magnoliopsida; Lamiales; Oleaceae
Exons: 6
Source: RefSeq, a predicted model, not a curated record